RNAcentral lists this small nuclear RNA (147 nucleotides) under Tortispora caseinolytica NRRL Y-17796. Its description in RNAcentral is "U4 spliceosomal RNA". The stretch from base 1 to 132 matches the Rfam family "U4 spliceosomal RNA". Rfam says of the family: U4 small nuclear RNA (U4 snRNA) is a component of the major U2-dependent spliceosome. Lineage: Eukaryota; Fungi; Ascomycota; Trigonopsidomycetes; Trigonopsidales; Trigonopsidaceae. The record is from Rfam by way of RNAcentral.
AUCCUUAUGCUCGGGCAUUACGCAUAUCAGUGAGGAUUCGUCCGAGAUUGUGUAUUUGCUGGUUGAAAACUAUUUUUUGACCGCUCUUACAAGGCUUUAUUGUCAUGUAAGGAAUUUUUGGCUCAUAAUUCGCUUACUGCAUAUUAU